Molecule: long non-coding RNA, 741 nt
Organism: Triticum dicoccoides
Lineage: Eukaryota; Viridiplantae; Streptophyta; Magnoliopsida; Poales; Poaceae
Exons: 4
Source: RefSeq, a predicted model, not a curated record
CGCCUCUCCAUUGGCUCGGUCGCCAUCGCCAAGGUCUCAUUUUUAUUCUCCAGUGGCUGAUUUCGAGUGCGUCGGCUCGAUCUGCAACGGCCUUCCUCCACUCCAACGCCGUGCGAACGACGCCAGGGCCACCAUGACCAGGAGCAGGACGACGCCUUGGAAGGUUCACCGACAGCAGCAGCUACGGUCCGGUCUUCUCCACUGACAGGGAUAUGGACAUGGAGGUCCGCCGUGGGCCUGGAGCUCGUCAUGGAGGGUCCCUCCUCUCUCUUCCCCUCCCUCCACUCUGUUGGUUGGUUGGACAGAAGACCACCGCUCGUCUGGCUCUGCUUCUUCCACCGCUGCUCCCCUCCCACCAUAGUGCCAGAGACGUUGUGCCAAGAACGGAAGAUCAUGUGCCGUUUGUCAUGGAAAUCGUUGUGAUUGAUCCCCCGAAGCAUCUUAUCUUUUUGUUGAAUGUGCUUCAGGCAUGAGGCAUGACUUCACAUAUCUGAGUCAAAUAUCUGGGAGUUCGAACAAGUUGGAUGCAUUUCUCAAUUCCAGUUUCUCUAUGUUUACCCAAUGCCAAAGGUAACCAUUUUUUUUUGAAUUUUAAAGGUAACCAAUAUUAGUUCUGGAUGCGUGAAAACAGUUUGCCAUAGACAUUAUUAGAGAACCACCGCUAACACAUUUCUUUGAUAGGCAGUAACCAAUAAAUAACUUACGGCGACAGUACACUACAUAUAUGUACAUGUAUGCUCU